GAGGUUUAUGUGAAAUAAUUUGAGAAAGUUUUCGAGUAAAUCAAGUAACGUAAUAGUUUAUGCAUAGCUGCUAGCUGAUCGUAAAACCAGGAUGCGAUAGCAAAAUAGCUAGAAGUCAUGUAUUUAAAACAUAACCAGAACAUGGUUUGUUACAUACGUCUAUAGCUUUGUUAUCUUGGAAGCAUAAAGCCAAUAUUGUACAAAUACAUAGUAAGAUACUCUGUUCGGAAACCAGAUUAAAAAUAAAAGAAAUAAAAUUUUAGCUAAAACCAAAAUCUAAUAACAAAUGGAAUCUUUAGAGAAGAAAUGAUGGCAUGGGCAAUGUGUUGAUAUCGGUUCAAGAGUCAAGACAAUGCACAAGGAUCCAAGAAAGCAUUCAAACAAAAAGAGGAACAGUAAAAGUGGAAGGUGUGUGAUGUGUGAUGUGUGAUGUGUGAUGUGUUAUGUGUGAUGUGUGAUGCGCACUUCUAAUGGUUCACGAUAUUAGAGGAAUCCAAUUUAAUUUGUUUGGUUAAACAAAGUUAAAAUCCCGUAAAUUGACGGAGAAGGUUACACAAAAAGAUAUUUUGUUUGCUGGAGAAGACACGUCGUGGGUUUGGACACAAUGUUGUCACAUCUAUAUUAUUCUGGACCAAACUAUCUCUUCACUUGGGUAAGUGAGAGAACGUUGAUUUUAAAGAUGCAACUAUAAGGAAAUCAGAUUUUUUUCUGGUUACAAUAAACGAAAAUGUUUCGAAUUGAAAGCUAGGUAUAUAGAUUUUUGGGAUUGUGUUUGGACGUUGGAUUAACUUUUAGUUAUAAGAUCUAAUGGCUUAGAAACUUCUAUCACUGUAAAGCGUGGACAUAUCUUUAUUAAUAUUAUUAACCAUCCACCGCUACAUGUCCACGACCACAACUAUUAGCUAUAUACACACGAUCAAAAACUGAAUUCAUUAUCCAUCAAUAGCUAUAUGUACACGACCACAACCAUUAGAUAUAUACACGAAUCCAGCAACCACAACGUAAUAUCAUUAACAAUCCACCACUACAUCCACGACACAACUAUUACAUACACACAUGAACAACCACUGCUAUCAUUAACCAUCCACAGCUAUAUGUCCACGCCCACAACUAUAAGAUAUGCACACGCAUCCAGCAAACGAAACCUUAUAUCAGCAACCAUCCAAAGCUUCAUGUCCACGACCACAACUGCGGUCAAACACAGCGUUUUGUCUUCAUGUGGGAGAUUGUCUGUGAACCAAAUCGGCAGAAGCAAGCAUCGGAUAAAGCGGCAGAAGCAGAGAAAUAUUGGAUAGAUAAAGAGAGAAGAGAUAAAUCGAUUGAGAAAGGACUGGAGCGGACACAGAAAAUCGAUUGAGAUAGGAGACAAAAAUUAUGUUUAGCCUAGGAAGGGAUUAGGGUUCUUGUAACUGGUUUUGUUUGGAUCUGGGUAGAUGUUGAGGAGAGGAGCCACUCUCAUUUUUUUUAAUUGACAAAAAAGAUUUGUAACAAAAAAAUAAGGAGUGGUAGGAAGAGGGUAACGAGAGACAAAGUUUAGAAAUGAGAAAUUGGGGUGUAUAACCAAACAAAAACGUAUAAUUCACUGCAUAGCCAUUUUCCCUAACAUUUCUAUACACGGUGUUAACUUUAUAAAUUAAUAUUAUAUUGCCC
This 1650-nucleotide long non-coding RNA is filed under the name Brassica napus (rape). Its description in RNAcentral is "long non-coding RNA (BNAP_LNC020472)". The record is from RNAcentral. Lineage: Eukaryota; Viridiplantae; Streptophyta; Magnoliopsida; Brassicales; Brassicaceae.